RNAcentral lists this ribosomal RNA (254 nucleotides) under uncultured bacterium. RNAcentral's name for it is "partial 16S ribosomal RNA". It matches the Rfam family "Bacterial small subunit ribosomal RNA", at positions 524 to 776 of the family's 1533-position model. The record is from RNAcentral.
UACGUAGGGUGCGAGCGUUAAUCGGAAUUACUGGGCGUAAAGCGUGCGCAGGCGGUUUUGUAAGCCAGAUGUGAAAUCCCCGGGCUUAACCUGGGAAUGGCAUUUGGGACUGCAAGGCUUGAGUGCGGCAGAGGAGACUGGAAUUCCUGGUGUAGCAGUGAAAUGCGUAGAUAUCAGGAGGAAUACCGGUGGCGAAGGCGGCAUCCUGGACCGGCAUUGACGCUGAGUGAGCGAAAGCUAGGGGAGCAAACGGG